UUAAAUUUUCUUCAUUUUUCUCCUCGUCAAUCAAGAGAACUUUCGAAGAGUUGCAAAAUAUUUGGCAAGUCAGUUAUCAGUUUUCGGAUAUCUGAGAAAAUUGGAUAACAAUUUGUUUCAAUAAAAAUGAAAAACAACAAAAACAUAUACAAAAUGCAGUAUCAAAUCUCAACAGCAAUAAUAUGAAUAAAAGAAGUAGAAGCAGAAACAAACAUAGUACGACAGUCACAAAGUAAACGAUAUUGAUGUCGAGAAAUGACAGCGAUGCCACGGUUAGUCAGUGUGCCAACCAACAGCAGAAACCGUAAUCAGCGGUGUUAUAUUGUGUCAUGAUGUGCACAAGCGGAUAACGUUUUUAUUAAUUAGUCAAAAUGUCGAUUGUGUCGUGUAUCGAAUCUCCGCACAGAAAAUAUAACCAAGUCCACAGAAGACAGAGUUCAGCACAGCAGUAGCGAGACGUUGCACCUCCUACUUAUACAAACAUAUCUUUGUCUUUAUCACCAGAUUAUGCUGGGCAGCGAAUUAUAAGGAAGCUUAAAACCACGAGUGCUGCUGUUGGCUUCCACUGGAAACGCUGUCUUCUUCAAUUGCCUCGGCUGCUAUUUAGGUGGUGGCACAUUUUCGGUUAUAAAAAAUUAAAUAUACCAAUGGAUGUGACAAGUGAUCGCGAUCGUUGGGUGUUAAUUCUGUAGCUAUGCUGGGGACUGUGCAUCGGCCGAUGGUGGGUCAACGGAAGAGCGACAACGGCUAUGGUGUGGCUUUGAAAAGAAAAAAAAUAUUUAUUACAACCUCAGAGUAAUGGACUAACAUGAAGUAAGUCAGAAUUUCUUCUAAUGCUUUAGGCGGAUAAACUACCCAUGGCUUACGAAAUGGAAACUAAUAUUUGGAGAGAUGCGAAGAUUACUCAUGACUCUUGUCUCAGCAAGAUGCCGCUUACUGAGCGACUUACGCAAUUACAACAACAGCAGGCAAGUUGAAAUCAACAAAGACACGUUCGCUGAUGCAAGUUGAGGCGGGGAGCCGCAAAGCAUUUAAGCCAAAUCAGACGCAAAUGAAAGAACAUUGCAAGCAAUUAAGCCGAUGUAAUAAAUUAAUCACAAUGGCCGCUCAGACGAUUAGGCCAGAAUGUGCCGCCGCCAGCUAGUGAACACGAUCGAAGCGGCAAUGAUAUUAGUCAACGUUAAAGGGACAAGAACUUACGUUUGUGGUUGUGCAUGCUCAUUGCUGACCCGCGGUGUGGUUGCGGCUGUGGCAAUGAGGAAAGGCGGGCGAGAUCAUGCGCUGGACUGCGGUUGCAAUUGAAGCGCGGUAUUAAUAUGUAUUAGUAAUAAAAAAAACUUGCAUUUAAUGCACGGAUAUGCGUCUAAUAUCGGAAUGCAUGUGCCACAUAGAUGCUAACUAAGUAUUAGUUUCAUUGCUAUGCAUCAAAUGUUGUAGUUGCUGCGGCUGAUGAUGGCAUGAUGACGAUCGUGUGUUGAUGAUGGUCAUGUUGGCGGGAUAGUGGCGGCGUAUGAUGACAAUGUGUGAGCAGUAAACGACGGGUUGCGCCAUCCAAAGUCCACUAAUGGCCGUUGUCGGCAGCUCCAAGUGAUGACAACACAUAUAUAAAAAUAAAUGUAAAACUGUACGCAACUGGAAGCUGUGGCUCUUACAAUCCAAUAAAUUUC
Molecule: long non-coding RNA, 1667 nt
Organism: Zeugodacus cucurbitae (melon fly)
Lineage: Eukaryota; Metazoa; Arthropoda; Insecta; Diptera; Tephritidae
Exons: 3
Source: RefSeq, a predicted model, not a curated record